UUGAUCCUGCCGGACCCGACUGCUAUAGGGAUGAGACUAAGAUAUGCAAGUCGCACGCCUGAAACCACGUUCAGGAGUGGCAUACCGCUCAGUAACACGUUGACAACCUACCCUCCGGACGGGAACAACUACGGGAAACUGUGGCUAAUUCCCGAUAGGCGACGACGCCUGGAAUGGUCCGCCGCUCAAAGCCAACCGCGCAUGUGCGGCGCGCACCGGAGGACGGGUCAGCGGCUGAUUAGGUUGUUGGCGGGGUAACGGCCCACCAAGCCGCCGAUCAGUACCGGCCGUGAUAGCGGGAACCGGGAGAUGGGCACUGAGACAAAGGCCCAGGCCCUACGGGGCGCAGCAAUCGCGAAACCUCCACAAUCCGGGCAACCGGGAUGGGGUCAUCCCUAGUGCCACGCAACCGCGUGGCUUUUGUCGACAGUAGGAACGUCGACGAAUAAGGGGAGGGCAAGACUGGUGCCAGCCGCCGCGGUAAAACCAGCUCCUCGAGUGGUCGGGACAAUUAUUGGGCCUAAAGCAUCCGUAGCCGGCCCGGCGGGUUCCUGGUCAAAUCCAAGCGCCCAACGUUUGGACUGCUGGGAAAACUACCGGGCUCGGGAGCGGGAGAAGCCGAGGGUACUCCUAGGGUAGGGGUGAAAUCCUGUGAUCCUAGGGGGACCACCAGUGGCGAAGGCGCUCGGCUGGAACGCGUCCGACGGUGAUGGAUGAAAGCUAGGGGAGCGAACCGGAUUAGAUACCCGGGUAGUCCUAGCUGUAAACGAUGCGGGCUAGGUGUCGGCCCGGCUACGAGCCGGUCCGGUGCCGAAGCGAAGGCGUUAAGCCCGCCGCCUGGGAAGUACGGCCGCAAGGCUGAAACUUAAAGGAAUUGGCGGGGGAGUACCACAAGGCGUGAAGCCUGCGGUUCAAUUGGAUUCAACGCCGG
This 931-nucleotide ribosomal RNA is filed under the name uncultured archaeon. RNAcentral describes it as "bacterial SSU rRNA". It matches the Rfam family "Archaeal small subunit ribosomal RNA", at positions 8 to 921 of the family's 1478-position model. The record is from RNAcentral.